GGGCGCGCGUGGACGUGCUUCUCUCCGCUGUUGCUGCGCACGCGAGUGGUGCCGUGGCGGUUCCUGGGCGCGUGUCUCGUUUCUCUUCCCUUCCCGCCCUUUUCAGGGGCGCGAGGCGCUGCUGAGGAGAGCAGCAGGCGGUCGCGCUGCGCUGACUCCCGAGCCUUGCUUCGAGUGUACUUCUGCGGGGUUUCUUUCAGUAAAAUUAACAGAGAACAGACUUUUCCCUCCUGCCCCUUCGUUUUCAGCUGUCUACUUGCUGUUCCCUCGCAGCGCUCGCAGGUUUGUUGGUAGGGAGCCGUGUGGGGGCUGAGGUGCAACGGGCUGAGCUUCCUGGGCAUACAGUUUUCCUGAGGGGGUUUUUUGGUGUUUUUUUUUUUAAUUAUUAUUAUUAUUAUUUUGGAAAUCGAUCCCCAUGCAGAAUAAUGGGGUGUUGAGAGGGAAGGGAGUACUCUCGUGAAGAGCCCCAGAGCUGAGAAGAGCCCUCAGGAGGGCUGCGGGGGCUGGCAGCCACCUGCUGUGGCAGGCUGUGGUAGACACAGUUCUGAGAGACUUAUUUAUUUGAGGUUCUUUUUAGCGUAGGUACUGCCAAAGGAUGCAUUUAGUGUAUCCCGAGGAAGGGAGCUCGCCCUGUAUGUCCUUUACCUGCAAAAAAGGGGAGGGAAAAGAUUUCUGUUCCCAUCAGCUGUUCUUGAGAGAAGCUUCCCUCAUCGAUUUUCUUCGCUAUCUUUCAGGGCUUUCUGGAUAUUAGCAAAAAGCAGUUGACUUCGUUUUUGAUACCUCUACUGCUUCUUAAAGCAGAACUGCAUGAGUUACUGAUAACCAGUGCUGUGUGCUUGAGUGCUGCGCCUCGUGUGUGGAGCUGCAGCUCGAGCAACCACUGAUGUGCGAGGAAAAACUGUAACUGGGAGGAAAUGGCUCUUUCCAAAGAAAUAGAGUUGUGUGUUCUGUGCUGAUCUCACGGUUUUGUCAAAGUGAUUUAUUGGUGAUGAACUGCAGAAAGAGUAAGCAGGACAGAAUAUACCUGCCUGGCACUGAUCAUGUUAAAAAGAUGUCUUGUUUAGAAACAAGCUGAAAAAGCGAAAAUAAUUCUUCAACUGACAAUCUAGUAUUUUUUCUCUUCACUUUCUAUUGUGUAUGUACUAAUCGUAAUCCUUGGGAAGAAGAUCUUGAAACCACUGAAGUAAAUUCUUAUAUAGGUUUACUAAUAAUGUGCCAGCUUCUAUUUGGUUGUCAUUUAAAUGCAACGUGUCUGCCUUCACUAAACUGAAGGUCAAAGACUUGCAACUUUUGAUCAUGACUGAGCGUGCGCUUUAAGAAAUUAUAGGCUUGGUGCUGUCAAUCAGCUCUACAGAUUUUAAUAAUUAUUGUUUUUAUUCUUGGCAACUUUGGUGAAUUGUCCAGGAAGAAGGUAAUGAUGUGUAAAAUAUAACUGCAGGGGGUGUAAUGGGCUGUCCCGUGCAGCAUUUCCUAUGGGAAAGAGCUGGGCACAGGCACUUAAGUUCAAGGCUGCGUGCUGUUGCUGAGCAGAAGUUGGACAGUCCAGGAAGCAUUUUGGAGUAAUCCAUGGUGUAGAUUAAAAUGCUGUCUUAGUUUAUUAGGGAAGCAUUUUCCAGCACUGUAUCUGUUGAAUGUUUUAAAACAACAACAACAAAAAGCCCAUGUGUUGGGGUGCUGGUGACUUCCAAUCUGAUUUUUGCACUUUCUCUUGUAUCAAGAGAGGAAGGUAGAGUAAAUGGCCAUAUCCGAGCACAGAAUUCACAUCAUAAUUAAAGAUUAGAUUGUGAAAGUAAGCAGUAGCUCUGUGUCGGAAUGCAUAUAGAAAUGCCUGAACACAAACAUUAAAAGUAGUCUGCAAGUAUAUUCAACAUAAAAACUGGUCUGGCUGUGCUAUAGCAGUCAUCUUGGUGUGAAGGUCUGGACAGGAUUUACACAUGUGACUGACUAGAAAGGUGUUUGUGUUGGAUGUGGACAAUGAGCUAGAUAUGUGGAGAACAAAGGUCAGUGACUAUGUACAGGUGUGUGCUGAAGUAGCAGGGUCUGUUUUCUUCUGCUAGAGGCUAAGAGCCCUUAAAACCAAACUGAAUGCUGUAAGAAUAGUGUCACAUUACCAGGCAGCCUUAUGCCCCUGAAAAUUCUUGAACCAACCAGUUGCCCUGUGAAUGACCACUUGUGCUGCUGCCUUCAGUGCAGUCAUUGCUGAAUGCUUGCUUGGUGACAGUCAUGUAUUUCUCUGUCCAAAACACUUCUGUCUAGGUACUUGCUGUCAAAUUCUAGGUUGCUUUUUUUCCUUGUGUCAACUUUUCAUUGUAUAUGUAUGUACAUAUAUAGUUUUAAAAAUGACCUAUUUCAUAUCCAAUUGCUUCUAAAUUCCUCUGCAAGGUACACUUAGUCUAAACCUUACUGUAAACCACAGUGUUGCUUUGUUGGCCUGUUUUUGAAGACCCUGGCCCGAUUUCUUCCUCAAUAUAAUGAUGCUUUCUUAACCAUUGAGUUUUUAACAUGGAAGCAAGCUUAUAAGUAACUGAGAUUUGAUGGUUCUAUCACAUGCUGAAUUUUAACACAGAAAAUGAUGGCUAGUGUGUUUUUAAAACAUGGUGUUCAGAGCUGCAGCUAUCAGAAGGCAGUCAUAAAAUGUGUGCUACUAGAACCCUGCAUGUUCUUUCCAGUGUCCUGAGACAGAUCUGUGUCUCACUCAGAGCAGGUUGCUCCGGCCAUCUGAAAACUGCCUUAUGAAAUGUUCAGACUUCUACUGGUCUGCUGUUCUGUAUCUUGUCUUUGUAUGAGGUACUCGUAGGCAGUAUUCUGAGUUUGCACUAAGUUUAGAUGUUUCGUGUUUUACUUGCUCCGUUUCUGAUAUCAGACACAGGGAAGAUAGCAAGUUCUAGGGAGUUUCAGUUCAUGGAGCAAAGUAUUAAGUUGAUUGGCAUUUCAGACUAUUUAAUCUCAACUGCACAAGAGAAGCAGCAACUAAUAACAUGUUUCAGAUCCAAGGUUACAACUUGGAUUACUUGGUGAUUGCACUGAAAAUACCUAUUGUAGAGGUAGAUAAUUUUCAUAAUAAUCUUAGUUUCAAGAAGUUGCCAAGUUUAUGAUCCAGGAUUUUAUUUCUACUACUGUAUUACUAAUAGUAGUAGCCAAAUUUGGAUUUGAGUAUGUUCUCAUAGAUGAAUUACUCUUUUUUUCUUCCAAGUAUAUUUCAAUAGAAUCCUCUCUGAUUUCUGCUGUAAAAUAAGUAUUACAGUAAUUAAAUAAAUCUGUACAUCUUUUCUCCCCCAGACCCAUAUUUAGAAGUUAAUUAGUUCAUUAGUUAAUGAAGCCAAAUCACUGCGGUGCUGCCUAGAGUCUCAGUUUGUGGUAAAAUUUGGGGGAAAACAGGGGGAAAAGAAAACAAAACCACCUAGAAAAAAAAAAAAGUUUUGUCUCACUUUUUGUUUCUGUCACAGAUACCUUCAGAAAAGCUGUCACCUACCCUUCUGUAGCAGCAGGGCUUUCCAUGUUGGAGCUGAUUAGCAAGAUAAUAGUGCUUUUGUUUCUUUUAAGUGUAAUGUAUGACGAGUUUUUUUCUUCAUGUUUUUUUUUUUUUUUUUAACAUUCUACAUCCUUCAUGCAUCAACAGCCAACAUAGGUAGAGAGGCUGGUGGAACUAUGAAUCUCUCCUUUCCCAGACCUGUUAUGUAGUAAAUACCAAACUCUUUGAAGAGCAAAGCAGCAUGUAUGUGUCCAGAUGUCUGCUAGUAGAUAUACCUGUGCUCAUACAAAUCUACUUUAUUUCUAAAAUGCACAUAAAAGCACAUGCACCGUAACCAAACGGGCAGUUUUAGAAUAUCCCAAAUUCAUUACAGAUGUCCAAACACAGUCUCAUAUUCCCACAGGCUUCAGUUUUUACAAAUAUUUAUAUUUGUAUGUUUUUCCAUUUGCAGUUUCUUUACAUUAAUAUAUGUCUGUUUAUUUCAACCACAUUAAUAGGCGAUUAAUAAAAAUACAUUGGAGAAUGACCCACAAAAUGCCUUUUGGAGAAAUGUUAUUCUAGUAGUUCCUGACUGAAUUAUUUUUAUGGAGUUACUCCAAUAGAGUUAUCUUUAAAUAAUUGG
RNAcentral lists this long non-coding RNA (4094 nucleotides) under Gallus gallus (chicken). Lineage: Eukaryota; Metazoa; Chordata; Aves; Galliformes; Phasianidae. The record is from RNAcentral.